AUACGUAGGUGGCAAGCGUUGUCCGGAAUUACUGGGCGUAAAGGGUGCGCAGGCGGACAUUUAAGUGAGAUGUGAAAUACCCGGGCUUAACCCGGGCAGUGCAUUUCAAACUGGGUGUCUGGAGUGCAGGAGAGGAGAACGGAAUUCCUAGUGUAGCGGUGAAAUGCGUAGAGAUUAGGAAGAACACCAGUGGCGAAGGCGGUUCUCUGGACUGUAACUGACGCUGAGGCACGAAAGCGUGGGUAGCAAACAGGAUUAGAUACCCUGGUAGUCCACGCCGUAAACGAUGAGUACUAGGUGUAGGAGGUAUCGACCCCUUCUGUGCCGCAGUAAACACAAUAAGUACUCCGCCUGGGAAGUACGAUCGCAAGAUUAA
This 376-nucleotide ribosomal RNA is filed under the name uncultured bacterium. RNAcentral's name for it is "bacterial SSU rRNA". It matches the Rfam family "Bacterial small subunit ribosomal RNA", at positions 523 to 897 of the family's 1533-position model. The record is from RNAcentral.